CUGGCCUAUGACAUAAUUUUUUCUUAUUUCCUCAAAAUCUCUCUGAACUAGGUCCUGCACUCAUAGGCCCUUGCUAUAAGGGUGUUUUAUGUUUUGUUACUUUAUUUUCUCUGUGGCUUAUUGAUGUUGAUUUCUCAUUCUGUUUACAAGCUUGGAGGCUGAUUCUGCAAAACAGAAUCUGCUCAACUGCUUCUCAGAAGAAUGUCUCCCUGAAGGGACUUCAGUUUGCAAAGCUAGCCUUAGGAAAGCCUCUCUUCACAAGACCACAGUUAUUUGGAGGCCCCCAAAAAGCAUCGAUAUUUUUUCAGAAACUUUUCUAAAAAAGCUCCUUAGAAACAGAGUAUCAUCCUUUGUUAUGCCCCAAAGCAUCUUUCACAAAGUGAGUAACCCAUGGUUCUAAGAUUGGGUACAUAUUUAUUCGUUUUAUUCUACUUCCUCAGGAUGAGCAUCCUACUCUCCUGGAGCAAUUGUUGCCCCCUUGCCUAAAUUGCCUCAUUUGUUCUCCUCUUUUUUUUCAAAGUCUAGUGUUUAUUAAUCAGCUACAAAGAUGUCUUUGCUGUAUUUUCCAGGAGGGAUUGGCCCCUGGUUUAACAAAUUCUCCUGGUCUUAGGUUCUUCUAGCUCAAAAUUCCAGAGGUGAGUAUAUAGAUUAAGGACUAUGCAAUAAUAAUAAUAACACAUGUAUAAAUAGAGCAGUAAAGCUUUUAAGGCAUGCAUGCCCAUGAUUUAUUUUUGUCUUCAUUUUAAAAAGGAGAAAACUGUGUUCCAGAGAGGGGUUAUGACUUGUGCAAGGCCACAUUGCAUGACUAUGUAAUUCCCACUGUAAUAUUUUUUCUACUGUACAAUGGGCCUCUGAAUCAGGGUAUCUUACUCCUGUAGUGGGAUCAGCCUUAUCCUGACAAGCUCCUUUUCCCAGAGUCAAGGAGCUGGCAUCGUUAGAGCCCAUCUGAUCUCCAGUGGUUGAAACUUUCAGUGAUUGGCAACAAGACCUACCCUCCAGUCCAUUCCAUUAAGAGUGUUCUGUCUGAACUCCUGCAGACAUGCAAAGUCCUGCAGUAUGCCCUGCCUCAAGAGUAGCACUGGUUAUGAAGCUGUGCUACAGUAGCCUGGUGCAGUUACCUAAAACCACAGGAGAAAACCCAUCUUUCUUGUUGAGGAACUGGAAAUAGGGGACCCUGGGGUUCAAAGACUGUCUGUAUAAUUUUCUCUUACUUUUUUACAUCUUUUUCUCUCACUGCUUUCCUCUGAGGAUGGCCUCUGUUGUACAUAACUUCAUGGCACCAUGACUGGCUAAAACUUUGAAAGCCCAUCUUUCACAAUAGAGAACAAGAAAAAGAGUCCCCUAGGGGUCCUCAGGACAGUGUGAGAGAAAUCACAGAAAAGAGAGAUCCAGUUAGGUAAACUCCUAAAUCUGUGUAUGAAUUAACAAAAGUCCCAGGUGCAGUCCUGUGCUGUGCAUGUGAUAGAGAGACUCAAAGCAGCAUAGCAAAGACUAUCACUACUGAUAUGAACCACCACCCAAGUCCCAAACUAACUGCUGAGUGGCACAUGAAUGUGAC
Molecule: long non-coding RNA, 1558 nt
Organism: Equus caballus (horse)
Lineage: Eukaryota; Metazoa; Chordata; Mammalia; Perissodactyla; Equidae
Source: Ensembl